RNAcentral lists this ribosomal RNA (211 nucleotides) under Methanosaeta sp. enrichment culture clone 7. RNAcentral describes it as "partial 16S ribosomal RNA". It matches the Rfam family "Archaeal small subunit ribosomal RNA", at positions 397 to 606 of the family's 1478-position model. Lineage: Archaea; Methanobacteriati; Methanobacteriota; Methanomicrobia; Methanotrichales; Methanotrichaceae. The record is from RNAcentral.
ACAAAUCUGGCUGUCGUGAUGCCUAAAAAGCAUUAUAUAGCAAGGGCCGGGCAAGACCGGUGCCAGCCGCCGCGGUAACACCGGCGGCUCGAGUGGUAACCGUUAUUAUUGGGUCUAAAGGGUCUGUAGCCGGCCGGAUAAGUCUCUUGGGAAAUCUGGCAGCUCAACUGUCAGGCUUUCAGGGGAUACUGUCUGGCUCGAGGCCGGGAGA